Molecule: ribosomal RNA, 299 nt
Filed under: uncultured Sulfophobococcus sp.
Lineage: Archaea; Thermoproteati; Thermoproteota; Thermoprotei; Desulfurococcales; Desulfurococcaceae
Description: partial 16S ribosomal RNA
Rfam family: Bacterial small subunit ribosomal RNA
Source: RNAcentral
CUAUAUUGGAGCCCACAGGCGAGGGAAGACAGUAGGUGGGAGAGUUAAUUGUGAUGAUGGGGCUGGAAGUGUGGUCAUGCGGUUUGGUAAGACACGCGACAAAUCCCCGCGCCUAACCUGGGAACGGCGCUUGUGACGGACAGCAUAGAGUACGGCAGAGGGGAGUGGAAUUCCACGUGUAGCAGUGUAAUGCGUAGGAGUGUGUAGUAACACCAAUGGCGAAGGCAGCCCCCUGGGUCGAUACUGACGCUCAUGCACGAAAGCGUGGGUAGCAAACAGGAUUAGAUACCCGGGUAGUC